UGAGCUCCAAAGUAGCAAAGCACACA
This 26-nucleotide non-coding RNA is filed under the name Rattus norvegicus (Norway rat). The record is from RNAcentral. Lineage: Eukaryota; Metazoa; Chordata; Mammalia; Rodentia; Muridae.